AUGCACCUGCAGGAAGUGAUUGAAGACCCUGGUUCAGAGUUCUCACCCAGUCAGAAGAAAUGGAAUUGGGAACCCUCUCAAAGAAGCUCACUGGAUAUGCUUUUGUCAAACAGAUGUGUUGCACUGGAGUACCGCUUCUGUCCCCGGUUGUCUUGGGCUCUCCAAAGCCUGGGGGCUGGAAUACCUACAUUUUCCAAACAGCGAAGAUGGCAGCCUGCCCAUCUCUUUGGAAUCUCCAUCCCAGGAAAUUUGCAAAUCUCUGUAGGCAAGAGAACAGUGGUGGGGAUGGCUGGAGGCCCUGGUUGGAAGGUCCCACUCAGUGAGGAGGAAUGGAUCAGGGACCUGCUUAAAGAAGCAGUCUGGCCACGUUUUAGGAGAGCAACUCUUCUGUGCUGGGGGAUCCUUUCAGCCCUCGGUCAGUUUGGACGCUUCAAAGCCCACAGGCUGGAAGAGCUGAGUCAUCUAAACAGUAAAGCUGGCAGUCUACCCUUUCUCCCAGGAACUUUGUCACAGAACCAUAUACACGUCAUGUGGUAUUCUCAUGAAGGCAAAGUAUGAUCAUUGGAGACUUACUCACCACUAAAUGUGUUGUGUCCCAGAGGAAAAUAAAGAGGGAAGCUGUUGCAUACAAAGUAAGUCAUUUCUUGAAUUGGGAAUUAUAAUUAUUUUUGAGUAAGUCUGAGGAGAGACCAUGUGUGGAUUUUUUUUUUCUUUUCCACAUUACUAGGAGUUGAAUUGAAUAUAAAGUGUGAAGGGGUGUGUGCGUGCAUGCAUGUGUGUGUGUGUAAGUUGUCUUUAUGUGAAGAAUACAACAUUUAGUAAAGGGGAAGAGAGGAUAAAUUCAAUAAGAAAACCAAGCAUUUUUCUAAGAUUUAAAAAAUUGUUUUACAAUUUUAUAUAUCAUAAAGAUUAUCUGACAUAUAAGUUUGAUAGAAACAGAUUAUACAAAAAAUUUUACAUAUCCACUAAGAUAAAUUAUAUUUUUAAAUUAUUGAAAUUAAUAUAUUAAAAACAUAAUGGUUAUACAUUUCUCUAUUUUUCAAUAAUUGCGUUUUGUCUGAGUUAAUUGAUUAAUUCCGGUUGAUGUGUUUUAAUUACAUUUAUCCCCAACCCUUCAGUGCCUGCUUCUAUUGUAAGAUUAAUCCCAUUUACAAUGUUGAAAUAAACUAAGAUUUCUACAAUUAAUUUAUUUUUUUAAUAUAUAUCACUGUAACAGCGGUAUGUGAUUCUGAUAUGUCCACAGAAAUAACAAAACGAAAUGUGAAAAGAGUAAUAUGAAAAUAUGAUCAGAUAGAAGAAAAGAUGUUUGUUAAGCAGGCACCCUGAGGACCUAGAACAAGGCUAUUUGAUAAAUUGUCAUCAUCUUUUUAAAUAUCUUUAAUCAAUACUCAAUUAACUAGUGCUACCUUUUAUAUAUUAAAUUUAAGUCAAUCAACUUUAUUUUAUAUUUCAUUUUCACCUUCACUAGCCAGAAAAUAAUGUCAUUUGCUUUGUGUACAUGAAAUUUUUUAUAUACAGCCCACAUAAAAUCCUCAUUAAUCACAAAAUUCAUUUUAUGUUAUAAAAACUCAUCAAAGUAAUAAAUAGAAUAAUUGAGUCUUUUCAAUUUUCCCUUUCAAUUCAGCAGGAUGGGCCAAAGAGCCCAGAGCUCCGCACUCUGCAUUUUUCAUUUGUAUUGAGUAAUAGCCUCUACAGAAGAAUUUUAGAGCCUGCUUUCCAUUGACAUCUUUCACAGUUUUAAUCUUUAUUAGAAAGUGCAUAUUUGAAUAGGCAGUAUGUGACGUAUGCUCUUAUUGUUCAGCUAGACAACAAGGGCAUGUUCCUGUCUUACAGCUUGUAUGUAAUGAAAGAAAAGAAAAUAAUGGGAAAUCAGUGAUUUACGAUUCUGAUCUUUUAUAAUAAACAUUGUUGGCUAUGUAAGAUAAUUUAAAUUUGUUUUUCUGUAAUGAUGACAUAAUCUUAAGAUUCCAAACUCCUCUUCAAAUCAAGCUCUAAUGUACAGAUUAGAAGGGUAAGUUGUCUUGAAUAGUGAAGACACAUGCUUUUUCUAGAAUUGGUAAAUUUAUACAGACAGUCUCACCAGAUCAACUAGUUUGCUCAAAAAAUAUAUAUAUGUAUCAUAUAUAUUUGCCUUAAUAGUUUAAUCUUAAAAAUAUAAUUAAAAUAAAUUAUAAUUAAAAUUCUAAUGAGCAAUCAGUAUCUAAUUUGAUAUUUUUCAAUCAAUAUGAAUUUUAGGAAUAAAUAGUUUCACUUAUCAAACUUUUUUCAGCACGGGUACCUCAAAUUUUGUUUUUAUUUUUUAUUUUUAGAUGAAGUUUUGCUCUUAUUGCCCAGGCUGCAGUGCAGUGGCACAAUCUCGGCUCACCACAAUCUCCACCUCCUGGGUUCAAGCGAUUCUCCUGAGUCAGCCUCCAGAGUAGCUGGGAUUACAGGCAUGUGCUACCAUGCCUGGCUAAUUUUUGUAUUUUUUAGUAGAGACGGGAUUCUCCAUUGUUGGUCAGAGUGGUCUUGAGCUCCCGACCUCAGGUUAUCCACCCGCCUCUGCCUCCCAAAGUGCUGUGAUUACAGGUGUGAGCCUCCGUGCCUAGCCGGCUACCUCAAAUUUGAAUGCCUAGUGGAACAUCGUGGGGUCAUUUAAGUUUAAAAACUGAUUUUUUUUAAUUUAGUAAGAGAAAUUUUAAUUAUUAAGUCCAGAGAAAUUUUCAGGGCAGGUGUACUAUAUCAACUACUGAUCACUGGGCAUGGUGGCUCAGGCCUGUAAUCCCAGCACUUUGGAAGGUCAAGGCAGGAGAAUCUCUUGAAGCCAGGAGUUCAACAUCAGCCUGGGUAACAAUGUGAUACCCCAUCUCUACAAAAACUAAAUUUUAAUAAAUUGAAAUAAUUAGCUGGGUAUACUGGCAGGCAUCUAUAUUCUUAGCUAUUUGGGAGGCUGAGGUGGGAGGAUCUCUUGAGCCCAGGAGUUUGAGGUUGCAGUGGGCUAUGUUGAGGCCACCGUAUGCCAGCCUGGAUGACAGGGCAAGAUCCUAUCUCAGAAACCAACCAACAAAAAAAUGAUCUAUUGAUAAUUCUAGAAUCUAACCUUACAGAAAAGAAUAAAUAUAGGAAGGAGGAGAAAUGUUUCACUCAUUAGCAUUCCUCACAGGCUUAAAUUUCUUUGAUACUAGCACUGUUUGAGACAUUGAGAUCUGCUAUCUCAUGUCAUAGAAAGAGUUUCAAAAGAGGUUAAGCUCAGCUGACUCAGUAUUGAGAUGUUCUGUUGCAGAAGCUGUCAUCACCUUGUAUGUUUAGUAAGUCUGAUGGUCCAAUACUGAGGUGUCUACAGAUUUCCACUAGAUGCUUUGCUGCAGUAGAGAUUAUGUUGCCACCAUGGUACCAAAGGAAGUAAGGUUUUAGUAAUGUUUUAUGUGGUUUUAAACCCCAUAGUGUGACAGUCAAGGAGACAGGAAAUACAAUGUCUCUUCUUAAUUGUAAUUUUAAAAAUUAACAGUAGAGGCCGGGUGUGGUGGCUCAAGCCUGUAAUUCCAGCACUUUGGGAGGCUGAGGCAGGUGGAUCACGAGGUCAAGAGAUCGAGACCAUCCUGGUCAACAUGGUGAAACCCCAUCUCUACUAAAAAUACAAAAAAUCUGCUAGGCAUGGUGGUGCAUGCCUGUAAUCCCAGCUACCCAGGAGGCUGAGGCAGGAGAAUUGCCUGAACCCAGGAGGCGGAGGUUGCGGUGAGCCGAGAUCGUGCCAUUGCACUCCAGCCUGGGCAACAAGAGCGAAACUCCGUCUCAAAAAAAAAAAAAAAAAAAAAAAUAGAAUAAAUGAACAGUUAAGCUUCCAGUAUUAAUUAAUGUUGCUGAAACCAUAUUUUAUAAAAGAAAUACACCCACUCUUGAGUUUUUCCCCAAAAAACUCAAGUUUUACACCUCUUUAUUUUCCCCAAAAUGGGAUAUGAGACAAAAAAAAAAGACAUUUCUUGAAAUGACUGUUCAUAAUGAGCAUUUUGUAUAAAAGUAUAGUGUUGUUUGUAGCAAAUUCAAGCCUGACAACAAGCCUUCUGUCUCCAUGUAACAUGUGACAAAAAUGGAUGCUCUGGCUGCUGCUGCUCUUUCUAACUUUCUCACUUAGCUUUUCUGAAUCAUUCCAAAGAUGAUGUUCCUCUGUGUUCUAUUACAUAUCCCUUCUUAAAAAACAUUUUGGGGUGACUCAUUUACAUGAAAGAUGGCAAAAAUUUUUGAUAAUAGCACCUCAUAAAUAGUCAACAUUAUGUAUGUUUACACACUUCAGUGCAAGUGAAGAAGGCAAUGCUUGGUGGGGGAUGCUGAAAUUUGCACUACUGAG
Callithrix jacchus (white-tufted-ear marmoset) is the source of this 4324-nucleotide long non-coding RNA. The record is from Ensembl. Lineage: Eukaryota; Metazoa; Chordata; Mammalia; Primates; Cebidae.